RNAcentral lists this non-coding RNA (119 nucleotides) under Aerococcus urinae. RNAcentral describes it as "FMN sequence". It matches the Rfam family "FMN riboswitch aptamer (RFN element)". Rfam says of the family: The RFN element is a highly conserved domain that is found frequently in the 5'-untranslated regions of prokaryotic mRNAs that encode for flavin mononucleotide (FMN) biosynthesis and transport proteins. This element is a metabolite-dependent riboswitch that directly binds FMN in the absence of proteins. Lineage: Bacteria; Bacillati; Bacillota; Bacilli; Lactobacillales; Aerococcaceae. The record is from RNAcentral.
UGAAAUCUUCGGGGCAGGGUUAGAUUCCCGAUCGGCGGUGAUAGUCCGCGAAUCAGUGAGCUGAUAGAACUAGUGAAAUUCUAGUACCGACUGUAAAGUCAGAAUGGGAGAAGAUAGUA